GACGAACGCUGGCGGCGUGCCUAACACAUGCAAGUCGAACGGAGAAAUUCAGCAAUGGAUUUCUUAGUGGCGAACGGGUGAGUAACGCGUAGAUAACCUGCCUCUAAGCUGGGGACAACAACUCGAAAGGGUUGCUAAUACCGAAUGUGAACAGUGCCUCGCAUGAGAUGCUGUUUGAAGGUGGCCUCUGAAUAUGCUACCGCUUAGAGAUGGGUCUGCGUCUGAUUAGCUAGUUGGAGGGGUAACGGCCCACCAAGGCGACGAUCAGUAGCCGGGCUGAGAGGAUGAACGGCCACACUGGGACUGAGACACGGCCCAGACUCCUACGGGAGGCAGCAGUGGGGAAUCUUCCGCAAUGGACGAAAGUCUGACGGAGCAACACCGCGUGAGUGAUGAAGGUCUUCGGAUCGUAAAACUCUGUUGUUAGGGAAGAACAAAUUUGUUAGUAACUGAACAAGUCUUGACGGUACCUAACCAGAAAGCCACGGCUAGCUACGUGCCAGCCGCCGCAGUAA
Molecule: ribosomal RNA, 515 nt
Filed under: uncultured bacterium
Lineage: Bacteria
Description: partial 16S ribosomal RNA
Rfam family: Bacterial small subunit ribosomal RNA
Source: RNAcentral